RNAcentral lists this ribosomal RNA (558 nucleotides) under uncultured bacterium. Its description in RNAcentral is "bacterial SSU rRNA". It matches the Rfam family "Bacterial small subunit ribosomal RNA", at positions 338 to 916 of the family's 1533-position model. The record is from RNAcentral.
CCUACGGGAGGCAGCAGUGGGGAAUAUUGGACAAUGGGCGAAAGCCUGAUCCAGCAAUGCCGCGUGAGUGAUGAAGGCCUUAGGGUUGUAAAGCUCUUUUACCAGGGAUGAUAAUGACAGUACCUGGAGAAUAAGCUCCGGCUAACUCCGUGCCAGCAGCCGCGGUAAUACGGAGGGAGCUAGCGUUGUUCGGAAUUACUGGGCGUAAAGCGUACGUAGGCGGUUAUUCAAGUCAGAGGUGAAAGCCUGGAGCUCAACUCCAGAACUGCCUUUGAAACUAGAUAGCUAGAAUCACGGAGAGGUUAGUGGAAUUCCGAGUGUAGAGGUGAAAUUCGUAGAUAUUCGGAAGAACACCAGUGGCGAAGGCGACUAACUGGACGUGUAUUGACGCUGAGGUACGAAAGCGUGGGGAGCAAACAGGAUUAGAUACCCUGGUAGUCCACGCCGUAAACGAUGAUAACUAGCUGUUCGGUCUCUACGAGACUGAGUGGCGCAGCUAACGCAUUAAGUUAUCCGCCUGGGGAGCGGUCGCAAGNUUAAAACUCAAGGAAUUGACGG